Zalophus californianus (California sea lion) is the source of this 104-nucleotide small nuclear RNA. NCBI's taxonomy places the organism in Eukaryota, Metazoa, Chordata, Mammalia, Carnivora, Otariidae. The record is from Ensembl.
GCUUGUUUCAGCAGACAUACACUAAAGCUGGAAUGACACAGAGAAGACUAGCAUGGCCCCUGAUCAAGGAUGAUACACAAACUCGUGAAGUAUUCCAUAUUUUU